Molecule: long non-coding RNA, 413 nt
Organism: Ictalurus punctatus (channel catfish)
Lineage: Eukaryota; Metazoa; Chordata; Actinopteri; Siluriformes; Ictaluridae
Source: Ensembl
CAAGCCUCCAGUCAGGAAAGUCCAAGUCCCAGUCAAGUCUCAUGUCCCUGAUGUCCAAGUCCCAGUCAAGUCUGAAGUCCCUAAGGUCCAAGUCAAGUCUCAAGUCCCUAAGGUCCAAGUCAAGUCUCAAGUCCCUAAGGUCCAAGCCAAGCCUCACGUUCCUGAGAUCCAAGCCAAGCCUCCAGUCAGGAAAGUCCAAGUCCCAGUCAAGUCUCAUGUCCCUGAUGUCCAAGUCCCAGUCAAGUCUCACGUCCCUGAGAUCCAAGUCAAGUCUCACGUCCCUGAGCUCCAGGUCAAGCCUCCAGUCCCUGAGCUCCAGGUCCAGCCUCCAGUCCCUGAGCUCCAGGUCCAGCCUCCAGUCCCUGAGCUCCAGGUCCAGCCUCCAGUCCCUGAGCUCCAGGUCCAGCCUCCAG